CCUACGGGUGGCAGCAGUGGGGAAUAUUGCACAAUAGGGGAAACCCUGAUGCAGCGACGCCGCGUGAGGGAAGAAGUAUUUCGGUAUGUAAAGCUCUAUCAGCAGGGAAGAAAAUGACGGUACCUGAUUAAGAAGCCCCGGAUAACUACGUGCCAGCAGCCGCGGUAAUACGUAGGGGGCAGGCGUUAUCCGGAUUUACUGGGUGUAAAGGGGGCGUAGACGGCAGCACAAGUCUGGAGUGAAAUGCCGGGGCUUAACCCCGGAACUGCUUUGGAAACUGUGCAGCUAGAGUGCAGGAGAGGUAAGUGGAAUUCCUAGUGUAGCGGUGAAAUGCGUAGAUAUUAGGAUGAACACCAGUGGCGAAGGCGGCUUACUGGACUGUAACUGACGUUGAGGCUCGAAAGCGUGGGGAGCAAACAGGAUUAGAUACCCCUGUAGUC
This 440-nucleotide ribosomal RNA is filed under the name uncultured bacterium. RNAcentral's name for it is "partial 16S ribosomal RNA". It matches the Rfam family "Bacterial small subunit ribosomal RNA", at positions 338 to 795 of the family's 1533-position model. The record is from RNAcentral.